RNAcentral lists this ribosomal RNA (820 nucleotides) under uncultured eukaryote. RNAcentral describes it as "SSU rRNA". It matches the Rfam family "Eukaryotic small subunit ribosomal RNA", at positions 629 to 1426 of the family's 1831-position model. The record is from RNAcentral.
CGGUGUUUAACUGGCGUGAUGUGGGACGUCCUACCGGUGGGCUUAGCCUCGCGAGGGGCGGCCCAACUAAUAUCCCGUCGCGGUGCUCUUUACUGAGUGUCGAGUCGGGCCGGUACGUUUACUUUGAACAAAUUAGAGUGCUUAAAGCAGGCUAUCCUCGCCUGAAUACUGCGUGCAUGGAAUAAUGGAAUAGGACCUCGGUUCUAUUUUGUUGGUUUUCGGAACCCCCGAGGUAAUGAUUAAUAGGGACAGAUGGGGGCAUUCGUAUUGCGACGUUAGAGGUGAAAUUCUUGGAUCGUCGCAAGACGGACAGAAGCGAAAGCAUUUGCCAAAAAUGUUUUCAUUAAUCAAGAACGAAAGUUAGAGGUUCGAAGGCGAUCAGAUACCGCCCUAGUUCUAACCAUAAACGAUGCCAGCUAGCGAUCCGCCGAAGUUCCUCCGAUGACUCGGCGGGCAGCUUCCGGGAAACCAAAGCUUUUGGGUUCCGGGGGAAGUAUGGUUGCAAAGCUGAAACUUAAAGGAAUUGACGGAAGGGCACCACCAGGAGUGGAGCCUGCGGCUUAAUUUGACUCAACACGGGAAACCUCACCAGGCCCAGACACCGGAAGGAUUGACAGAUUGAUAGCUCUUUCUUGAUUCGGUGGGUGGUGGUGCAUGGCCGUUCUUAGUUGGUGGAGCGAUUUGUCUGGUUAAUUCCGAUAACGAACGAGACUCUAGCCUGCUAAAUAGGCGUACCUUAUGGUAUCGCGAAGGCCCCCGGCUUCGGCCGGUGGGUUUUUACUACCAACGUACAAACAAAUCUUUUUAGAGGGACAGGCGG